GUUGAACGCUGGCGGCAUGGCUAAAACAUGCAAGUCGAGCGCGAAACCGGUUUCGGCCGGGAGUAGAGCGGCGCAAGGGCGAGGAAUACGUUCCUAACGUACCCCCAGGUCGGGGAUAGCCCGGGGAAACCCGGAGUAAUACCCGAUGUGGUCACGAUUCUGUCGUGAUCAAAGGCUUCGGUCGCCAGGGGAGCGGGGAACGUCCUAUCAGGUUGUUGGUGAGGUAACGGCUCACCAAGCCUCAGACGGGUAGCGGGUGUGAGAGCAUGACCCGCCGCAUCGGGACUGAGACACUGCCCGG
Molecule: ribosomal RNA, 301 nt
Filed under: uncultured bacterium
Lineage: Bacteria
Description: bacterial SSU rRNA
Rfam family: Bacterial small subunit ribosomal RNA
Source: RNAcentral